RNAcentral lists this ribosomal RNA (370 nucleotides) under uncultured eukaryote. RNAcentral's name for it is "partial 18S ribosomal RNA". It matches the Rfam family "Eukaryotic small subunit ribosomal RNA", at positions 592 to 976 of the family's 1831-position model. The record is from RNAcentral.
CAAUAGCGUAUAUUAAAGUUGUUGCAGUUAAAAAGCUCGUAGUUGGACCUUGGACCUGGACAGGCGGUCCGCCUCACGGCGUGUACUGUCUUGCUGGGUCUUUCCUCUUGGUGAUCUGUUGUUUCGGCAGCAGGGAACCAGGACUUUUACUUUGAAAAAAUUAGAGUGUUCAAGGCAGGCUCGACGCCGGAAUAUAUUAGCAUGGAAUAAUAAAAUAGGACGUGCGGUUCUAUUUUGUUGGUUUUUGGAAUCGCCGUAAUGAUUAAUAGGGACAGUCGGGGGCAUUAGUACUCACAUGCUAGAGGUGAAAUUCUUGGAUUUUGUGAAGACUAACUUCUGCGAAAGCAUUUGCCAAGGAUGUUUUCAUUAA